CGCGGGGUGGAGCAGCUGGUAGCUCGUCGGGCUCAUAACCCGGAGGUCGCAGGUCCGAAUCCUGUCCCCGCAACCA
Molecule: transfer RNA, 76 nt
Filed under: Eubacteriaceae bacterium
Lineage: Bacteria; Bacillati; Bacillota; Clostridia; Eubacteriales; Eubacteriaceae
Description: tRNA-Met
Rfam family: tRNA
About the family: Transfer RNA (tRNA) molecules are approximately 80 nucleotides in length. Their secondary structure includes four short double-helical elements and three loops (D, anti-codon, and T loops). Further hydrogen bonds mediate the characteristic L-shaped molecular structure. tRNAs have two regions of fundamental functional importance: the anti-codon, which is responsible for specific mRNA codon recognition, and the 3' end, to which the tRNAs corresponding amino acid is attached (by aminoacyl-tRNA synthetases). tRNAs cope with the degeneracy of the genetic code in two manners: having more than one tRNA (with a specific anti-codon) for a particular amino acid; and 'wobble' base-pairing, i.e. permitting non-standard base-pairing at the 3rd anti-codon position.
Source: RNAcentral